RNAcentral lists this ribosomal RNA (492 nucleotides) under uncultured bacterium. RNAcentral's name for it is "partial 16S ribosomal RNA". It matches the Rfam family "Bacterial small subunit ribosomal RNA", at positions 29 to 507 of the family's 1533-position model. The record is from RNAcentral.
AGUGAACGCUGGCGGUAGGCCUAACACAUGCAAGUCGAACGGCAGCACAGUAAGAGCUUGCUCUUACGGGUGGCGAGUGGCGGACGGGUGAGGAAUACAUCGGAAUCUACUUUUUCGUGGGGGAUAACGUAGGGAAACUUACGCUAAUACCGCAUACGACAUACGGGUGAAAGCAGGGGAUCUUCGGACCUUGCGCGAUUGAAUGAGCCGAUGUCGGAUUAGCUAGUUGGCGGGGUAAAGGCCCACCAAGGCGACGAUCCGUAGCUGGUCUGAGAGGAUGAUCAGCCACACUGGAACUGAGACACGGUCCAGACUCCUACGGGAGGCAGCAGUGGGGAAUAUUAGACAAUGGGCGCAAGCCUGAUCCAGCCAUACCGCGUGGGUGAAGAAGGCCUUCGGGUUGUAAAGCCCUUUUGUUGGGAAAGAAAAGCAGCAGGUUAAUACCCCGCUGUUCUGACGGUACCCAAAGAAUAAGCACCGGCUAACUUCGUG